RNAcentral lists this non-coding RNA (144 nucleotides) under Candidatus Brocadia. RNAcentral's name for it is "c-di-GMP sequence". It matches the Rfam family "c-di-GMP-I riboswitch aptamer". Rfam says of the family: GEMM was predicted in a large-scale screen for bacterial structured RNA regulatory elements. Genes associated with GEMM are involved in a diverse array of functions, including chemotaxis regulation, signal transduction, secretion and chitin. Lineage: Bacteria; Pseudomonadati; Planctomycetota; Candidatus Brocadiia; Candidatus Brocadiales; Candidatus Brocadiaceae. The record is from RNAcentral.
AUCGCGAAAAGGUAAACCCUGAGCGAUCAGGGGGCGCAAAGAAAAGGAUCUUUGCCUGUGCAGGGAAAAGUGCAGGGGAAAAGAGUUAACGAUUUUUCAGCGUAUACGGAAAUACGCAUUGCUUAAGAUAGCCUUACUGCCAAA